UACGGGGGGGGCAAGCGUUGUUCGGAAUUACUGGGCGUAAAGGGCUCGUAGGCGGCCAACUAAGUCAGACGUGAAAUCCCACGGCUCACCCGUGGAACUGCUUGGUAUACUGGGUGUCUUGAGCCACUUAGGGGCUACCGGAACAAAUGGUGGAGCGGUGAAAUGCGUAGAUAUCAUUUGGAACGCCAAUGGUGAAAACAGGUAGCUGGGAGUGUGCUGACGCUGAGACACGAAAGCCAGGGGAGCAAACGGG
RNAcentral lists this ribosomal RNA (253 nucleotides) under uncultured bacterium. Its description in RNAcentral is "partial 16S ribosomal RNA". It matches the Rfam family "Bacterial small subunit ribosomal RNA", at positions 524 to 776 of the family's 1533-position model. The record is from RNAcentral.